Molecule: non-coding RNA, 212 nt
Organism: Pelobates cultripes (western spadefoot toad)
Lineage: Eukaryota; Metazoa; Chordata; Amphibia; Anura; Pelobatidae
Source: the annotation of a GenBank genome assembly
CGUUAUUCCUUCUCCAUGUUAUAAGGUAUUUCAAAUUUGGACCCUUAGUGGUCUCCCAGUGAUUGCGGUCACCUAAGUCUCUCUGCUAAUUACUAAUUUCAGGUCACAUGUAAGUGGUCCUUCGUUGCCUCUAGGUUUACCACCACAGGUAAGUCAACAGGUAGCACUCGGCCUUAUCACUCCUAACAGGACACACAAACCCUACGUUUUCC